UACGAAGGGGGCUAGCGUUGCUCGGAAUCACUGGGCGUAAAGCGCACGUAGGCGGCUUUCUAAGUCAGGGGUGAAAUCCUGGAGCUCAACUCCAGAACUGCCUUUGAUACUGGAGAGCUUGAGUCCGGAAGAGGUGAGUGGAACUCCGAGUGUAGAGGUGAAAUUCGUAGAUAUUCGGAAGAACACCAGUGGCGAAGGCGGCUCACUGGUCUGGUACUGACGCUGAUGUGCGAAAGCGUGGGGAGCAAACAGG
RNAcentral lists this ribosomal RNA (253 nucleotides) under uncultured bacterium. RNAcentral's name for it is "partial 16S ribosomal RNA". It matches the Rfam family "Bacterial small subunit ribosomal RNA", at positions 524 to 776 of the family's 1533-position model. The record is from RNAcentral.